GGAGAGAGGCAAAGGAGGCCAAACCGACGUCGCCACUCCCAAAGAUUCUUGUGGAGGCUUGCUUGUGAUUAAUAAGAACAGACUGAGAGCAACAAACCCCUGUAACCAUGCCGCAGGGAGAUUAUAUAGAUCUUCACAGGAAGCGAUAUGGGUACAGACCUGAUCAUUUUGAGCGCAAGCGCAAGAAGGAAGCUCGUGAAGUCCACAAGCGCUCUGAAAUCGCGCAAAAGGCUCUGGGUAUUAAAGGCAAGAUGUUUGCCAAGAAGCGCUAUGCAGAAAAGGCUCUGAUGAAGAAAACAUUGGCUAUGCAUGAGGAGUCAUCGACUAGGCACAAGGUUGAUGAGGAUGUUCAUGAAGGAGCUGUUCCAGCAUAUCUGUUAGAUCGUGACAAUACGACACGAGCAAAGACUCUUAGCAAUUCCAUCAAGCAAAAACGGAAAGAGAAAGCUGGGAAAUGGGAAGUCCCUCUGCCUAAGGUGAGGCCUGUCGCUGAAGAUGAGAUGUUUAAAGUUCUUAGAACAGGCAAACGCAAGACUAAGCAAUGGAAGCGGAUGAUCACAAAAGCAACGUUUGUGGGACCAGGUUUUACAAGGAAACCUCCCAAAUAUGAGCGAUUUAUCCGGCCCAGUGGUUUGCCGAAUUCACCAAAGCUCAUGUGACACACCCUGAACUCAAAUGUACUUUUAACCUUGAGAUCAUUGGUGUGAAGAAAAACCCUAAUGGUCAAAUGUACACCUCUCUUGGUGUCUUGACCAAGGGAACCAUCAUUGAGGUGAAUGUAAGUGAACUUGGUCUAGUCACACCUAACGGGAAAGUGGUAUGGGGGAAAUAUGCACAGGUGACGAAUAAUCCAGAGAACGAUGGAUGCGUAAAUGGGGUUCUGCUUGUCUAAGAGGAUUAACUGUCAAGCCUGGAAGGACUUCUAAUCUUGCAUCGCAAGUCUCGUACCUUAACAUGCAGUAGCCAACUAUCCCUCACCUCAAAUUUUGGGAACCAAAACUAUGACUAAUGUGAUGUGUGGAUCGUAGAAUUUUGGCUUUCAAGAAUUGAACUAUUGGUGCAUAUUUUUGGGUAAUUUAUAAUAGACAUCUUUGUUGAACUCUAUUUCCAAACUAUUAUCAGUCCUUGGUCAUUCAUCAUUGUAUUGAAGCGGCUAUUGAUCAUUGUAAAACAAUACGCUUGAUCAUAGCUACCAUGAAUGCCAAACCAGUACUUUUGAUAUUGUG
This is an RNA transcript of Fragaria vesca subsp. vesca, 1226 nucleotides long. It is a transcript of the gene named ribosome biogenesis protein NSA2 homolog, with no coding region annotated. Lineage: Eukaryota; Viridiplantae; Streptophyta; Magnoliopsida; Rosales; Rosaceae. The record is from RefSeq and is a predicted model, not a curated record. The transcript has 10 exons.